Molecule: ribosomal RNA, 253 nt
Filed under: uncultured bacterium
Lineage: Bacteria
Description: partial 16S ribosomal RNA
Rfam family: Bacterial small subunit ribosomal RNA
Source: RNAcentral
UACGUAGGGGGCAAGCGUUGUCCGGAGUUACUGGGCGUAAAGCGCACGCAGGCGGUCUGCCAAGUUCGGCCUGACAGUUGGUGGCUCAACCACCAAAGGCGGUCGAAAACUGGGGGACUUGAGAGCUUGAGAGGGACACGGAAUUCCGGGUGGAGUGGUGAAAUGCGUAGAGAUCCGGAGGAACACCGAAGGCGAAGGCAGUGUCCUGGCAAGCUUCUGACGCUCAGGUGCGAAAGCCAGGGGAGCGAACGGG